UACGGGGGGAGCAAGCGUUGUUCGGAUUUAUUGGGCGUAAAGGGCGCGUAGGCGGUCACGCACGUCCGUUGUGAAAUCGCUCGGCUCAACUGGGCGGGGUCAGCGGAUACGGCGUGGCUGGAGCAAGCUAGGGGGCAAUGGAAUUCCCGGUGUAGUGGUGGAAUGCGUAGAUAUCGGGAGGAACACCAGUGGCGAAGGCGGUUGCCUGGAGCUUUGCUGACGCUGAUGCGCGAAAGCGUGGGGAGCGAGCCGG
RNAcentral lists this ribosomal RNA (253 nucleotides) under uncultured bacterium. Its description in RNAcentral is "partial 16S ribosomal RNA". It matches the Rfam family "Bacterial small subunit ribosomal RNA", at positions 524 to 776 of the family's 1533-position model. The record is from RNAcentral.